Centropristis striata (black sea bass) is the source of this 1959-nucleotide RNA transcript. It is a transcript of the gene named phospholipid phosphatase related 2a, with no coding region annotated. NCBI's taxonomy places the organism in Eukaryota, Metazoa, Chordata, Actinopteri, Perciformes, Serranidae. The transcript is spliced from 9 exons. The record is from RefSeq and is a predicted model, not a curated record.
UCACUGUCUGCACUCUUACUCUCUCACAUGUUCUUGCUCUCUCGUCUCCUCCGUGUCUCCUCAUUGGACCGAACGCUGCUCAGGAGAGAGAGACGCCGUCCCUCACGCUUCACUGUGGACCAGGAGGAGCAGGAGGAGCAGGAGGAGCAGCAGGAGCAGGACAGAGUGGCGGAAGAGAGGAGAACGAGGGAGACAGACAGCUGGGUGGACGGAGAUUUUCACACCACUUUACCAUCAUCUGAUCUGACAUGGCAACCGCAUAGGAACCUGGUGCCACGGCAACCGUCAGCUCGGCGUCGAGGUUCAGGAGACAGAGAGCUGCUCAGAGGGGAAGAGAGGAACGGAGAGAGGGAUGGCGGUGGAGGAGAAGCCGGGAGUGAAGAGCAGCAGCUCCAUCGUCCCCUGCUUCCUGUUUGUGGAGCUGGUGAUCAUGGCUGGGACGGUGCUGCUGGCUUACUACUUCGAGUACACGGACACCUUCCCGGUGCACAUCCAGGGCUUCUUCUGCUACGACAAGACCUUCUCCAAGCCGUACCCGGGUCCCGACGACACCAGCAAGAUCCCCCCGGUGCUCGUCUACUCGCUGGUCACCGCCAUCCCCACCGUCACGAUUCUUGUUGGAGAGCUGUGUGCCUUCUUCACCAAGGCAGAGGGAACCCAGGAGAAGACCAUCGUCACUGCAGACUGCUGCUACUUCAACCCCCUGCUGAGACGCAUAAUACGCUUCCUAGGUGUCUACGCCUUCGGCCUGUUCACCACCACCAUCUUCGCCAACGCCGGCCAGGUGGUAACAGGAAACCAGACACCUCACUUCCUGUCUGCCUGCCGACCAAACUACACAGCGUUAGGCUGCCAGUCCACCAUGCAGUACAUAGCAGAGCGCCGGGCCUGCACCGGCAACCCGCUGGUCGUCAUGUCCGCACGGAAAUCCUUCCCCUCCAAGGACGCAGCGCUCAGCGUCUUCUCUGCAGUGUACACAGUGAUGUAUGUGACACUGAUGUUCAAGACCAAAGGCACCCGGCUGACCAAGCCCACCAUCAGCCUCACGCUGCUCUGCCUGGCCAUGCUGGUGGGCGUGGUCAGGGUGGCCGAGUACCGGAACCACUGGGCCGACGUCCUGGCCGGGUUCUUCACCGGCGGAGCCAUCGCCGUGUUUUUGGUGACUUGUGUGAUUAACAACUUCCAGCAGAUGCUGCCCAGUCCUCCUCCGCUGCGACCCCAGCGCCCCGAGUCCGUGCUGGGCAUGCCCAUGGUGACGCUGCCCUGUGUGGAGAGUCCACUCGAAAAACUCCGCGGGGAUCUCCGUUCACCGAGAUCACAUGACCAUCAGCCCUAUCGGUUCCCCGCCACCCCCGAUGUCCUCAUACCGUCUCGCUCCAUUUCCAGCGAAGUCUAGACCAGCCGGAGCAGCACUCGCCGCGCUGCGCCGCCCACCCGGCGGGGCGGUACGCCACCCUACACCGCUCGUACUCCACGCAGGUCUAGACCCCCAUACACCGCACACACCAACACACACCCUCCUAACCCCGGGGAACCGAUAGGCUAACUCUUCAAGACUUUCUCUUUGCUGGAAAGAAACAAACUGAACAUUCAGUACAGAGUCAGGUACAUCUUUCUUUUUUUAUUUUCAAGAUUCAACUUUUUUUUGUAUAAACUCAAUCGUGAAGCUCAAUUUCAUCUUCGGUGGCGCGCUCUAUGAGGAAAAACAUCAAACUGUGACCACUGAGAAUGUUUUUUUGUUUGUUUGUUUUAACAACGGUAUGAAGUUGCACCUGUUUGAAGGAGGCUAAAUGUGACGGCGGACUCCCAGGAUGCCGCUUUGAAGUCUGCCGUCAGGAGGUUGCCAUGUUGGACCAAAGAAACCCGCUGGAGGAGACGUGUGCUGCUGAGAUUUACCCGUCAAAAAAAACAUCCUUUCAGCAAGCCAUACACACACACACACACACACACACACACACA